GCCUGGGUGGCUCAGUCGGUUGAGUGUCCGACUUCGGCUCAGGUCAUGAUCUCACGGUUCGUGGGUUCGAGCCCCGCAUCGGGCU
RNAcentral lists this transfer RNA (85 nucleotides) under Felis catus (domestic cat). It matches the Rfam family "tRNA". Rfam says of the family: Transfer RNA (tRNA) molecules are approximately 80 nucleotides in length. Their secondary structure includes four short double-helical elements and three loops (D, anti-codon, and T loops). The record is from Rfam by way of RNAcentral. Lineage: Eukaryota; Metazoa; Chordata; Mammalia; Carnivora; Felidae.